Eriocheir sinensis (Chinese mitten crab) is the source of this 735-nucleotide long non-coding RNA. RefSeq lists it as uncharacterized. The record is from RefSeq and is a predicted model, not a curated record. Lineage: Eukaryota; Metazoa; Arthropoda; Malacostraca; Decapoda; Varunidae. The transcript has 2 exons.
GUCCACCAUGAGGUCAGUGAGGGCACCUUUAUUCUUCCCAACAAACAGGAAGUACACAUCUGCCAUGACAAGGAGGGGGAGGCUUGGCUGUAGCAGGGGUUGAGGUUUACAUAUGCCUGGCUGCCCACAGUGAUGAUGAUAUCAGAUUACUACCACCCACCUGGAUGCAGCAAUUUGAAGGAGUCCAUCAGUUGCAAGAAUUCCUCUUGCUGCGGCACACUGCUCGGGGCAUUCCACAGCACCACCUGCAGACCAGACAACUCUGAGUGUGUGGACACCUCUCAACAAUCCCUAUCUUUAUACCACACAGAAAAUUGCAAACUUUAGAUCUAAAGAAGAAGGCUAAAGGUUGAAAAAAGAGGAAUAUGGAUGGUAUAACAAGGAGAGGCAGGAAACAUGCAUGAUGUACUGGGGAACAGAUGAAGGUUAAAGGCAGUCUGAUGAGAAUUAACACUAAGAAAUGGACUACAGGUCUUAUGAAAGAUGCUGGAGCAAUUGCUGGAGAAAACUCAGAACUUUUCAAAAUGUCCUGAAAAAGCAAAAAUUCUGUCUGGUAAAAUGUAGCCAUAAUCAUAAAAAAGUCAUAAUACACGAGAAAGCAGACUUAACAGAUCUCAAAAAUUAGUCCUCAUCAGCUUCCUGUCAGUUAUCUAUAAAUGGCUCACAAAAAUAAUCGCAAAUAUCAGAAUAUCCAGAUUCAGAUUCUAAUCAGCCUGGGGAACAAGCUGGUUUUCA